RNAcentral lists this ribosomal RNA (497 nucleotides) under uncultured bacterium. Its description in RNAcentral is "partial 16S ribosomal RNA". It matches the Rfam family "Bacterial small subunit ribosomal RNA", at positions 28 to 507 of the family's 1533-position model. The record is from RNAcentral.
GAUGAACGCUGGCGGCGUGCCUAAUACAUGCAAGUCGAGCGAACAGAUGAGGAGCUUGCUCCUCUGACGUUAGCGGCGGGCGGGUGAGUAACACGUGGAUAACCUACCUAUAAGACUGGGAUAACUUCGGGAAACCGGAGCUAAUACCGGAUAAUAUAUUUAACCGCAUGGUUCAAUAGUGAAAGACGGUUUUGCUGUCACUUAUAGAUGGAUCCGCGCCGCAUUAGCUAGUUGGUAAGGUAACGGCUUACCAAGGCAACGAUGCUUAGCCGACCUGAGAGGGUGAUCGGCGACACUGGAACUGAGACACGGUCCAGACUCCUACGGGAGGCAGCAGUAGGGAAUCUUCCGCAAUGGGCGAAAGCCUGACGGAGAAACGCCGCGUGAGUGAUGAAGGUCUUCGGAUCGGAAAACUCUGUUAUUAGGGAAGAACAAAUGUGUAAGUAACUAUGCACGUCUUGACGGUACCUAAUCAGAAAGCCACGGCUAACUACGUG